Daktulosphaira vitifoliae (grape phylloxera) is the source of this 1732-nucleotide long non-coding RNA. RefSeq lists it as uncharacterized. The transcript is spliced from 3 exons. NCBI's taxonomy places the organism in Eukaryota, Metazoa, Arthropoda, Insecta, Hemiptera, Phylloxeridae. The record is from RefSeq and is a predicted model, not a curated record.
CAACGCAGAAAUAUUUUCAUUAAAAAGUUAUAAAUUAAUAAAGCUUCCAAAAAUGUUCUUAGAACAGUUAAAUAAAAAAUAAAAAUAGUAUAAGCUUUUUAUGUGUUACAAAUAGUGCAUCUUUUAUUGAUAAUGAAUGCAAGGAAAUGGUCUAAAAAUUUUUUUUGGAUAAAUGACACCCAAAAGGAAUGUUUUAAUUAUAGUUAGAAAAUAAUAUUUAUUGAAAAUAAUUUUACAGAUUAUCAUCAUAAGUUCGUUGAAGGUCACAAUCAACUCUUCAUCCUACCUAAUUGUUAACAAACGACGGAAAGGUGAAAAUUACGAAGUAAUUUAAAAGAAAGGGAAGACCAAUUAAUUAAAAAAAAAAAUCAUCAUAGUUAGUGCUUUCAGAAGGGUUAUUAAAACACUACUGUUUAUUUAUACUAUUAAAUUAAACUUCUUUUUUAAAAUUUGUGAGUAUUCAAAGUGCUCAAAAUUGAUCACCUUAAAUUUAAAUUAGUUAAGACGAUAAUAAAUUAAGAAAUGUUAUUUUUGAUAAACUAUGUUUUCUAGCCAUUAAUAUUAUAACAGACAGUAAUAGGAUAUUGUAUUAUUAAUCAAAACCGCAAGUUCCUGUCUCGAUAACAUGGUUAUUGACACCGAUAACCAAAAGAGGUCGCAUACAUUUUGACGACCGCUAACCUAGUGGUGUAUCGCACUAUACUUACACAUUAGAUCUAAUUUCAAUUUAUACCUAAUGAUUUGUAAUUGAUAUUUUCGCAGGGAACAUUAGAUUGUCAUGGUACGCCAAGGACAAAGUAUCUUAUUAAGUGAAAAUCAUUUUAUAUUACUUAACGCAUAUUUUUAAAUUGCCAUCGUUAUGGACCAGAUGCAUUAAGUCCAAUGGUCUAAAACGCCUAUUGUAAGGAAGGAAAUUUUAAUCAAUCAUAUUAAUAGAGGAAGAUCAAAUAAGAGAUGAAGGGAUGUUAUUGAAUGCAGUAUGAGGACUGUUGACGUGUGGGAGAUCGUUUCAAGUGAAUGUUCAGGAUGUUCAACCACAAGCAAUUAGGAUGAAGACUAGGACAAAGAAGAAGUAAUAUUUUAAUAAACGAAAUUAUGAAAUUCAUAAUAAAUAUUGAUUAACCAGGUACCUUAAUUUACAUAACAUAGAAAUGUGUUAAACUUUGUGUAACAGAACAGCAGAUACCGUAUUGCUACAAAGCAUUUUUUAACCAGUUGACAUAGUUAAAAUAUAUACUGUUCGUUUUUUGUGAAAGAAGUAUUAAUUUUUUAGACAGUGAUCGGUAAUCCCAAGAGAAGAACACCAGGAUAUAACGAUGAGAACACAAUUUAAAAAUGUUUCAAAAUGAUAAACAUACAUGUAUUAUAAUGUAUUACAUGUAUAAUAUUUUACUCAUAAAUAUAUUAGUAAAAUACUUUUUUACUCAGUCAAGUAUAAAAUAUUUCAUCUCAAAAUCGAAGUUUUGAGCAAAAUGGUUAUGUAUAAAUAAAUUUAGCCAAAAUUAAAUUAAUACAAAACCGCAAAAAAGUUUUACAUAUAAUUGUUUUCAUAGUGUAAAACCAUUGUAUCGCACAUCACUUUUAUUAUUUUAAAAUUUAGGGUUGGUAUGACAUCAGUUUUUAAGAAUUAUGAUGUGGUGAUGUUUUAGCAAAAUUACAGUGUAAAGGUUUUCUCUUUGCUUCUUAUCCUUAUUAAAGUUUGCAAGAUUUUUUGUACAAUAUUAUAAUAAGU